UGACCCAGCCAUGCCGCGUGCAGGAAGACGGCCCUCUGGGUUGUAAACUGCUUUUAUCUGGGAAGAAAAAGGCCAUGCGUGGCAAAUUGCCGGUACCAGAUGAAUAAGCACCGGCUAACUCCGUGCCAGCAGCCGCGGUAAUACGGAGGGUGCAAGCGUUGUCCGGAUUUAUUGGGUUUAAAGGGUGCGUAGGCGGCUGAAUAAGUCAGCGGUGAAAGACUCCGGCUUAACCGGAGCAGUGCCGUUGAUACUGUUUAGCUUGAGUUCUGCAGGGGUACAUGGAAUUGAUGAUGUAGCGG
RNAcentral lists this ribosomal RNA (299 nucleotides) under Algoriphagus sp. Its description in RNAcentral is "partial 16S rRNA". It matches the Rfam family "Bacterial small subunit ribosomal RNA", at positions 384 to 681 of the family's 1533-position model. Lineage: Bacteria; Pseudomonadati; Bacteroidota; Cytophagia; Cytophagales; Cyclobacteriaceae. The record is from RNAcentral.